RNAcentral lists this ribosomal RNA (264 nucleotides) under uncultured archaeon. RNAcentral describes it as "partial 16S ribosomal RNA". It matches the Rfam family "Archaeal small subunit ribosomal RNA", at positions 717 to 982 of the family's 1478-position model. The record is from RNAcentral.
ACACGUCUACAUUAGACUACCCCCGUAGUCCCAGCCGUAAACUAUGCGCGUUAGGUGUAUCGGUGACCACGAGUUACCGAGGUGCCGAAGGGAACCGUGAAACGUGCCGCCUGGGAAGUACGGUCGCAAGGCUGAAACUUAAAGGAAUUGGCGGGGAGCACCACAACAGGUGGAGCCUGCGGUUUAAUUGGACUCAACGCCGGGAAGCUCACCGGAUAGGACAGCAGAAUGAUUGCCGGGCUGAAGACUCUGCAUGACUAGCUG